UACAGAGGUGGCUAGCGUUGUUCGGAAUUACUGGGCGUAAAGCGCACGUAGGCGGACUCUUAAGUCAGGGGUGAAAUCCCGGGGCUCAACCUCGGAACUGCCUUUGAUACUGUGAGUCUCGAGACCGGAAGAGGUGAGUGGAAUUCCUAGUGUAGAGGUGAAAUUCGUAGAUAUUAGGAAGAACACCAGUGGCGAAGGCGGCUCACUGGUCCGGUUCUGACGCUGAGGUGCGAAAGCGUGGGGAGCAAACAGG
RNAcentral lists this ribosomal RNA (253 nucleotides) under uncultured bacterium. RNAcentral describes it as "partial 16S ribosomal RNA". It matches the Rfam family "Bacterial small subunit ribosomal RNA", at positions 524 to 776 of the family's 1533-position model. The record is from RNAcentral.